Long non-coding RNA from Talpa occidentalis (Iberian mole), 3761 nucleotides. RefSeq lists it as uncharacterized. NCBI's taxonomy places the organism in Eukaryota, Metazoa, Chordata, Mammalia, Eulipotyphla, Talpidae. The transcript is spliced from 4 exons. The record is from RefSeq and is a predicted model, not a curated record.
GCCCCGGCCGCGCGGACGCUCGGCCAGGGACGGCGCCCCGAGAGUGAACACACGCUCCACCCAUGCUGUAUCUGUCCUGGUCUGACUCACUGCUUACCUGUACAGGUUCAGAAAUGUUGUGGAUAACAGCUGUGCUUGAAUAGUUUCAACACACCAGAUGAAGAAACGGGGCUAAGAGAAAGUGAGAAACUACUCUGCAGUCACACACUGUCACCACCUGCAUGACAGAGAGAGAGGAGAUGGAGCACAGAUUGCCCCCAAAUUAUGCCUGGAAGUAAAUGAAGAAACUUUAAUCUUGAAAGCAGUGACAGCUAUGUUCUUUAAUUCCAAAAACGUCUAGCCCUUCUGAGGAAGGUUUGUAAUAUCUCAUUGAGGAGAUUUCUUAAUUUUAAUUUUGGGGAUACCUUUUUGCUUUUCACGUGUUCGUGUGUUGCACUCACGCUCUACCAACCCCGCUGUGCCGAUGACAGGUUCUGAAGAUUUAAGACAAAAGAGAGAAAGAGGUGGACAAAACCGUUCUUUACAGAGACUACAUGAUCUGCAAAACCUGAAGUAUUUACUAUCGUUCUGUUUAUGGAAAGAGCUUACCAACCCCCAGUAUAGAAUAUAGAUUGGGUGAGAUUACAAAAGAUGUGGGUAGGAAGGAGAAAUAUGACUACCCAGUGGAAAUAGAUGUGGGUUUUUUUGUGUUGGUUUUUUUUUACUAAAAACACACUAGAGGCAAGAAGAACAAAGGAAUCAGGAUUUUUAGGGAACUUAAACUACCGUAUUUUCACCUGAACCCUUACAGUCCUUCAAAAUCUGGGCUCUCCCCACCCUGCAAAUUUCUCCCAGAGUUCUAUUUGUGAUCUACUCCUCUGAUCACAUAUUGUUCAUCAGAAACCUCCAGAUGUUCCCCAGCACUCGCUGACCUCUUAGUCAAGACUAAUUAGCCAGGGUGUUCCAUGAUCUGACUUCAUCUUCCCAGCCUUAUUUUCCAGCACUCAUCUUUUGGUGAAUUUCAAGAUUCUGUGCUUUUGCUCAUAUUUUCUUUUCUACUUAGACUGUAUUUCUCUUCUCCAAAUCCUAGACAUACUUUAUUGUUGUUACUGCGAAACAUAUCAAGCAUAGAGAGAAGAAAAUAAUAUAGAAAUUGUCCGUGUCCUCAAUACCAACUUUUGUUAAAUCUUAUCAUUUUGCCAUGUUCUUUCUUUAGUUUUUCUUAAAAAAAGAUUACACUUAGACACUUUUAAACCUUAACUACUAGAUCCCUUCCAAGCAUGCCUACUUGAUACGCUCAGUAAGAAUGAAACUCUUCCUCCUAUGACAUCCGUAACAUUUUCUUUUUACCUCUAAUAGAUCUGACUUACUCUGCCCUUGUAUAAUGUUUUGAAUAUUCUUUACUACAGUCAUUUCCAUAAAGUGCUGCAAAGAUUAUUUUUGAUAGUCUAAGGAAAAGAUAUUUAAAAAUGUACAUUAGAAAUAUGUGCACAGAAGUAUUUAAAGAUAUAUGUCUAGGAUAUCAAAUCUAUGAUUUCUCAGAUGGUCUUUAGGAUCUGUUUAAAGUAGCUAGAGGUAUUAGAAAAUUAUUGAGUAAAUGAAAAUACAAAUGACAGGCCAAAAAAAAGGGAAGGUUUUACUCAAAUCAUUUGACUUGACUCAUUAGAACAGAGACCCAGUUUUGUUUAUUUUUGUAUACUCCUAAAGCAUCCAACUAAGAACAAAUGCUGAUUGACUUGAAUUGAUUUCUCUCUGGGACAACAAGCUUCUUGAAAAUUAUAUGGAACCUCCUAGGCCUUCUGCUGACCGCUUUUAAGACACGGAGUGCCCCACAUUCCAAUAAAACAUAUGCCAGGAACAGAUGGCUCCUAUCCCCGCUCUCCCUUCUCUGCCCAUUAUGAUAAGUUGCCCCAGUUGGGCCCUGAUAAGUAUGAAAUAAUGCGAAUAAUAAUCAUUUUCUGAAGGAAGGACGACUCAAGUUUGCCAGAAUGCUCUCGUUAGUUCUGCUUCAACAGCCCAGUCUCAGCAGAUUUCAGUGUGCAGACUACUUUGGUUCUUGGAUCUGGUCCAGCACACAGACUCACUUUCUCUCACACUACAGUUUGUCGAGGAAUCUUUCUCAGCUUCCUUAAAAUCAUUAUUUCGUGGCAUCUCGAAUAGAUGUGGCACUGACACAUCUAAAGUCAAAUUGGCAACUGCAUUUGGUCUUGGGACUUGGCAGUGAGGAGCCAUGUUGUUGCACAGCGCGCCCCGUGCGCGAGUUAGCCAAAUGAUGUCACGCGGUUACACCACCGCUGUCCUGUCUCCCAGCAUUUCUGAGUAAAUGUGACCCUUUGCGAAGUUUCACUCCUCCUACCCUGCAGUGACCUCACAUGCUCUCAGAUGUCAGAGGCCUUAACUGUGGUGAAAUCUUUUACUCGUCUCCUUCCUUACAGCCUGUGGUCUGAGGUGGUGGAUUAGGAGUGUGGGGGAGUAGGGGGAACCCCUGGUGCCUCUGAGUCACACAAGAAGAUCAAAACAUGUCUGAAGUUUAGUUUAAUCCCCCAAAGCUCCAUUCACACGGGCUGGAUUUCCUUGGGAGAGAACCCUAUAAAUGUCUGUACAUGGUCUUAACUUCCUGGUUUCCUCACUCCUACUUCUAAGGCACGUCUUUCCUGACCUUAAAAAGCCCACGCCAGGGCUGGCUUAUAACCAAGGCAUAUAACCUUUUACUUUGUUAUCCCCAUGAAGACGCUUUUGAAAAUGAACCAGGGAGUGCUGGGAAAAAAGGUAUAAAAUCAGGACCCACCCCGGGGAACACUGACGUUACCCCACCAUGCUGAAAUCGAGCCCCUCACUCUCUGUAGCAGAGCCACGCAGUUUGGGGUCUGGGCUUCAACUGGAAAGCCGUGGGGUUUCUUGGGGAAUUUAGAGCUUUGUUUUCAUUCAGCGUUAACACCUGCGUUCGCGUUCUUUAUACUCAUUGAUCGUCUGUCCACGCAAGGGGCCACUUUUAUUGUCCCUGGUCAAAAAAGAAAACCGAUGCGAACUUCACACACAGUGAAAUGGCCAAGCCGAGCGCAAGUCUCAGCCCAGCAUCUUCUUGAGAAAGAUGAGGGCACUUUGAAAGAGGAAGGGGAAGGUGCUGUAGGGCAGAGUCCAGGACCCGCGUCGUGGCGUCCUACCACGUUCAUUUUGCAAAGGAAGGUGGGGUGUCAGCAAAACACCACCAUGCAUUACAGUCACGGUGGUUAUAUGCAUUUAUUCGUAGAAACCUUUAAGUUAUAAAUUUGUGUUGAUCUCUAUAAAAGUGCAAGGAACUUUUUUAUACCUAAGUUUAUGUUAGUACAUAUUAAAGAAGUAUGGAAAAUAAUUUAAUUGUGAAGGUCUGUAGGCAAUGUUAAUAUUUAAGACUCAGCGCUCUAACUUUGUUAAAGCAAAGUUUUGCUUUUACUUCUGUCUUCUUAAUACAACUAUGCCCUCUGGUGGUUACAGUUACUACUAGAUGUAACAUGCUAUAAUAUUUGUCUUUUCCAAAUUCAUUUGUAGGUCAACUCAAAAAACAGAAUAAUUUCCCUGUAGAACAAUUUGAUAAAUAAUGGGAGAUACCGGGAUAGCCAACAGUAACCCCAGGGGCCCUGUGUCAUUGACCUGCCUUUCUCCCGCCUCCACUGCCCUGCAGCAAACAAAUCCCCAUGGCUCCAGCACUGCCUCGCCUGUGCCCGUCACCAUCAGAAGUAGAAAGAGGAGAGAAGGGGGUUAGUACUUUGGUCAAAUCCAACAUCUUUAUUUAAAAUUUUUUU